GAUGGCGGCUCAGAAGAUAAACGAGGGGCUGGAACACCUCGCCAAAGCAGAGAAAUACCUGAAAACUGGUUUUUUAAAAUGGAAGCCAGAUUAUGACAGUGCCGCUUCUGAAUAUGGAAAAGCAGCUGUUGCUUUUAAAAAUGCCAAACAGUUUGAGCAAGCAAAAGAUGCCUGCCUGAGGGAAGCUGUUGCCCAUGAAAAUAAUAGGGCUCUUUUUCAUGCUGCCAAAGCUUAUGAGCAAGCUGGAAUGAUGUUGAAGGAGAUGCAGAAACUACCAGAGGCCGUUCAGCUAAUUGAGAAAGCCAGCAUGAUGUAUCUAGAAAACGGCACCCCAGACACAGCAGCCAUGGCUUUGGAGCGAGCUGGAAAGCUUAUAGAAAAUGUUGAUCCAGAGAAGGCUGUACAGUUAUAUCAACAGACAGCUAAUGUGUUUGAAAAUGAAGAACGCUUACGACAGGCAGUUGAAUUACUAGGAAAAGCCUCCAGACUACUAGUACGAGGACGUAGGUAUGUCUUUAAAAACUACUGCUGUGUGUUUAACUAUACUUUGAAUCCACAUUUGGAACUGGAAAGUAAUUUGGGGGAUAGCUUGUUAAUUUUUUGGUAUAAGCUGUAGACACACCAGGCCACACAAUAGAAUAUUAACAUUUACUAGACAGUAGGCACACUGAAUUAGAUAUUAAAAGAUCUGCUGUUUUUUGAAAGUGUAAUGCCCAAAUUUAUCAUGCACUGUGCUUUGAUUGGUUGAACCCUGGCUCAGCAACAUGAAAGGGAACAGUUUCCUUCAUCUGUUACUUGGUUGGAUUAUAAUAUCUCUCUCAAGGAAAAAUAAGAAUAUUAGGAUAAAUGACAAAGAUGCAUAAACACUCACCCAUGAAAAUUGACAG
Molecule: small RNA, 887 nt
Filed under: Pan troglodytes (chimpanzee)
Lineage: Eukaryota; Metazoa; Chordata; Mammalia; Primates; Hominidae
Description: retained intron
Source: RNAcentral